Non-coding RNA from Phrynosoma platyrhinos (Desert horned lizard), 71 nucleotides. Lineage: Eukaryota; Metazoa; Chordata; Lepidosauria; Squamata; Phrynosomatidae. The record is from the annotation of a GenBank genome assembly.
GCCAGUGUAGCAUAAUGGUUUGAGUGUUGGACUACAACACUGGAGACCAGGGUUCGAUUUCCAGCUUGGCA